Molecule: ribosomal RNA, 253 nt
Filed under: Thermanaerosceptrum sp.
Lineage: Bacteria; Bacillati; Bacillota; Clostridia; Eubacteriales; Peptococcaceae
Also listed under: 1 other name
Description: partial 16S ribosomal RNA
Rfam family: Bacterial small subunit ribosomal RNA
Source: RNAcentral
UACGUAGGUGGCAAGCGUUGUCCGGAAUUACUGGGCGUAAAGGGCGCGUAGGCGGAUAAUUAAGUCAGAUGUGUAAACUGCAGGCUUAACCUGGAGAUUGCAUCUGAAACUGGCUAUCUUGAGUGCAGGAGAGGACAGUGGAAUUCCUAGUGUAGCGGUGAAAUGCGUAGAUAUUAGGAGGAACACCAGUGGCGAAGGCGGCUGUCUGGACUGUAACUGACGCUGAGGCGCGAAAGCGUGGGGAGCAAACAGG